UGGGCUCGAACGGCUUAAGAUCAUCCUUGGAAACAGGGACUUCUCGCAAGAGACUUGAGUCGAGGUGCUGCAUGGCUGUCGUCAGCUCGUGUCGUGAGAUGUUGGGUUAAGUCCCGCAACGAGCGCAACCCUUGUCCUGUGUUGCCACUCCGUAAGGAAGCACUCUCAGGAGACCGCCAGCGAUAAGUUGGAGGAAGGUGGGGAUGACGUAAGGAUAG
This 218-nucleotide unclassified non-coding RNA is filed under the name uncultured Bryobacterales bacterium. RNAcentral describes it as "contains 16S-23S intergenic spacer region". It matches the Rfam family "Bacterial small subunit ribosomal RNA", at positions 976 to 1193 of the family's 1533-position model. Lineage: Bacteria; Pseudomonadati; Acidobacteriota; Terriglobia; Bryobacterales. The record is from RNAcentral.